This 392-nucleotide ribosomal RNA is filed under the name uncultured bacterium. Its description in RNAcentral is "partial 16S ribosomal RNA". It matches the Rfam family "Bacterial small subunit ribosomal RNA", at positions 523 to 918 of the family's 1533-position model. The record is from RNAcentral.
AUACGGAGGAUCCAAGCGUUAUCCGGAUUUAUUGGGUUUAAAGGGUGCGCAGGCGGCCAUUUAAGUCAGCGGUUAAAUCGUGGGGCUCAACCCCAUUCUGCCGUUGAUACUGGGUGGCUUGAUUGCGGUCGAGGUUGGCGGAAUUCGUUGUGUAGCGGUGAAAUGCAUAGAUAUGACGAAGAACACCGAUUGCGUAGGCAGCUGACCAGACCGCAAAUGACGCUCAUGCACGAAAGUGCGGGGAUCGAACAGGAUUAGAUACCCUGGUAGUCCGCACAGUAAACGAUGAAUACUUGUUUUCGGCGAUAUAAUGUCGGAGGCAAAGCGAAAGCGAUAAGUAUUCCACCUGGGGAGUACGCCGGCAACGGUGAAACUCAAAGGAAUGGACGGGG